Molecule: ribosomal RNA, 398 nt
Filed under: uncultured bacterium
Lineage: Bacteria
Description: bacterial SSU rRNA
Rfam family: Bacterial small subunit ribosomal RNA
Source: RNAcentral
AGUGAACGCUGGCGGCAGGCCUAAUACAUGCAAGUCGAACGGCAGCACAGCAGAGCUUGCUCUGUGGGUGGCGAGUGGCGGACGGGUGAGGAAUACAUGGGAAUCUGCCCAGUCGUGGGGGAUAACGUAUGGAAACGUACGCUAAUACCGCAUGCGCCCUACGGGGGAAAGUCGGGGACCGCAAGGCCUGACGCGAUUGGAUGAGCCCAUGUUCGAUUAGCUAGUUGGCGGGGUAAAGGCCCACCAAGGCGACGAUCGAUAGCUGGUCUGAGAGGAUGAUCAGCCACACUGGAACUGAGACACGGUCCAGACUCCUACGGGAGGCAGCAGUAGGGAAUAUUGGACAAUGGGGGCAACCCUGAUCCAGCCAUGCCGCGUGAGUGAAGAAGGCCCUCGGG